RNAcentral lists this ribosomal RNA (468 nucleotides) under uncultured bacterium. RNAcentral describes it as "partial 16S ribosomal RNA". It matches the Rfam family "Bacterial small subunit ribosomal RNA", at positions 28 to 507 of the family's 1533-position model. The record is from RNAcentral.
GACGAACGCUGGCGGCGUGCUUAACACAUGCAAGUCGAACGGAAAGGCCCUGCUUUUGUGGGGUGCUCGAGUGGCGAACGGGUGAGUAACACGUGAGUAACCUGCCCUUGACUUUGGGAUAACUUCAGGAAACUGGGGCUAAUACCGGAUAGGAGCUCCUGCUGCAUGGUGGGGGUUGGAAAGUUUCGGCGGUUGGGGAUGGACUCGCGGCUUAUCAGCUUGUUGGUGGGGUAGUGGCUUACCAAGGCUUUGACGGGUAGCCGGCCUGAGAGGGUGACCGGGGAGAGUGGGACUGAGAUACGGCCCAGACUCCUACGGGAGGCAGCAGUGGGGAAUAUUGCACAAUGGGCGGAAGCCUGAUGCAGCAACGCCGCGUGCGGGAUGACGGCCUUCGGGUUGUAAACCGCUUUCGCCUGUGACGAAGCGUGAGUGACGGUAAUGGGUAAAGAAGCACCGGCUAACUACGUG